RNAcentral lists this ribosomal RNA (441 nucleotides) under uncultured bacterium. RNAcentral describes it as "bacterial SSU rRNA". It matches the Rfam family "Bacterial small subunit ribosomal RNA", at positions 64 to 507 of the family's 1533-position model. The record is from RNAcentral.
GAGUGCGCGUGCCGUAGCAAUACGGUAUGGCGCACGGCGCACGGGUGCGUAACACGUGGGCAAUCUGCCCUCCGGUGGGGAAUAACCCCGCGAAAGCGGGGCUAAUUCCGCAUAACAUUCUCUGGACCCUGGUUCGGGGAUUCAAAGCAGCAAUGCGCCGGAGGAGGAGCCCGCGCCCGAUUAGCUAGUUGGUGAGGUAACGGCUCACCAAGGCGAUGAUCGGUAGCUGGUCUGAGAGGAUGGCCAGCCACACUGGAACUGAGACACGGUCCAGACUCCUACGGGAGGCAGCAGUGGGGAAUCUUGCGCAAUGGGCGAAAGCCUGACGCAGCGACGCCGCGUGGGGGAUGAAGCUUCUCGGAGUGUAAACCCCUUUCGACCGGGACGAAUGCCCGCAAGGGAGUGACGGUACCGGUAGAAGAAGCCCCGGCUAACUACGUG